GGCAACCCUCUGGGGUCCCCUUGCACGCUGUGGAAGCUUUAUUGUUUCACUCUUUGCAAUAAAUCUUGCUGCUGCUCACUCUUUGGGUCCACACUGCCUUUAUGAGCUGUAACACUCACGAUGAAGUUCUGCAGCUUCACUCCUGAAGCCAGCGACACCACAAACCCACCAGGAGGAAGGAACAACUCCAGAUGCACCUCCUUAAGAGCUGUGACACUCACCGCGAAGGUCCGCAGCUUCACUCCUGAGCCGGCGAGACCACGAACCCCACCAGAAGGAAGAAACUCUGAACACCUCCGAACAUCAGAAGGAACAAACUCUGGACACGCUGCCUUUAGGAACUGUAACACUCACCGCGAGGGUCCCCGGCUUCAUUCUUGAAGUCAGUGAGACCAAAAUCCCACCAAUUCUGGACACACUAGGAAGACUGAGACCCAAUUGGACCAUCAAAGAACGACCCAAUCACCAGCACAAAGCUAAUAAACUUGUAAGCUUUCAAUACAAAUAACGUUGGAACAUAGCUAGGAAGACUUCAGGAGACAGAUUCUCUUUGCAGAGUCUCUGGGAGCCUUUCUCUCUACCAUGUGGAUGCCUGCAGAAGCCUGCACAGUCAUUCUGCCACAUGCACUGUGGAUACACAGCUGAUUUACAGCUGGGCUGAAAAAGCCUCAUCUCUGUUUCUGGGGAUUCCAGGAUAUCCUGUUUUUGACUCUUAGCUAAGUUCUAUCCCAAGCAGCCAUAAUGUGUAAGGCAACGGGACAACAGACAGCAUCCAGCAGGGAUUCCUAAGAAAAGACAAAGCUGAAAUGGGAGUCUGAAUGACUUUUCUAGAUCUACUUAUUUAAAACUUAGGAGAUCAUAACAUAUUAAGACGGAAAAAGUGAUGCUCACGCCAGAGAAGAGUCAGCCCAAGGUCAUCUAGGAUCAGUGGCACACCUAGGAUUCAGGCCCAAGGACCCCCAGCUGACCUGCCUUCCCUGGAACCUCACUGUGAGUUCUUUAACCAUGGCUGUGUUUUCAAAGUUGAACUGGGGCUGCUGUUGAUACCACCUUUAAAUGCCUGCUUUUGUCAUGGAGACCAUGAGAACUUCACUCUUCAGCUGGCAAUUUACCUGGCUGCACAGUGCUCAGGCACACACAGGCUUCAGGGCUACAAGGUAAAGGAUUUGCCAAGGCCAAGUGCUGAAACCCACUUCUUGUUUUGAAGCAAAUGAGAACUUCCACCUGUAUUUGACCUGGGUAUGUAUAUUAAUUAGUUUGGCAACUGAGAUUUUUUUCUUGAUGAUCAAAAGUCCUAACUGGCAGUUAAAUAUGUCUUUUUUUUUUUUUUUUUUGAGACAGAGUUUCCCUCUUGUCACUCAGACUGGAGUGCAAUGGCACAAUCGAGGCUCACUGCAACCUCUUUCUCCCCAGUUCAAGCAAUUCUCCUGUUUCAGCCUCCCAAGUAGCUGGGAUCACAGGUGUCUGCCACCACACCUGGCUAAUUUUGUAUUUUUUAGUAGAGACAGGUUUUCACCAUGUUGGCUAGAUUGGUCCUGAACUCCUGACCUCAGGUAAUCCACCCGCCUCGGCCUCCCAAAGUUCUGGGAUUACAGGUGUGAGCCGCUGCCCCUGGUCAAAUAUGUCUUUUUAAAAAAAUAAUAAUAAUGACUUUUAAAUACAAGUGACCUGAGUAUGCAAAGUAUUUCUAGACUCAGGGUUCUUAAAGUGAGGAAAAAUUAGCAAAAGCAUUAUUUGACAGCCCCUAGAAUAGGCCAAAUAUGAAAUAACUAACAAAUUGCAGAUAGUAGUGUGCUCUACAAAGAAAAAGAGAGCAAGACAAUGGAUUACAGAAAAGAUGAAGUUUAUUUUAGAUGGAGUAUUAAGUGACAGAUUCUAUGAGGAGGUGAAAAUUGACCAGACAACUGAAAGAAGUAAAACAGCCAUACUAGUAUCUCAGGAAAAAUUAUCGCAGGAAAAAAAGAGGAAAAAUAAAAUGACUCUAUGUCGGAGGGAGUUUGGGCUGGCAUGGUGGCUCAUGCCUUUAAUCCCAGCACUUUGGGAGGGCGAGGUGGGUGGAUCACUUGAGGUCAGGAGUUCGAGACCAGCCUGCUGAACAUAGUGAAACCCGUCUCUACUAAAAAUACAAAAAUUAGCCUGGUGUGGUGGUGGGUGCCUGCAAUCUCAGCUACUCAGGAGGCUGAAGCAGGAGAAUUGCUGGAACCUGGGAGGUGGAGGUUGCAGUGAGCCUAGAUCAUGCCACUGCACUCCAGCCUGGGUGACAGAGUGAGACUCCACAAAAAAAAAAAAAAAAGGGGGGGGUGGGUGGGGAGGAGGGUUUGGCAUGUUUAAUGGAAAAGGUCUGUGUGUGACCAGAAUAGAUGGAAUGCAGAGAAGCAAAAUAUAGAUUUUAAUUUCCAUGGUUCUUUACUGAAGAGUGUUUCUUAUUUAAGUAACAACGCUAUGAUUAAAUUGAUUGUGAAAGAAUUACAAAUCUAGAAUUUAUUGCAUGAUCAGAUAGGAGAACAGAUUUGAUUUGCUAACUCUGUAUAAUAUACUACAGUGUAAGCCACCCUCUAUUACUUUAGCAAAAGAUGUUUUUUUCAUUUUCCUGCAAGUAUAUUUUUUCUCUAAAACCUUAAUUAGCAUUUUUUAAUAUUGCUGAAAGAUGGGGAUAUAAGUUCCAUUUAUUUCUUGAAACUGAAUAUAAUUAUCAAAUAUUGAAAAAUAAUAAUGGGCAUCAUUAUAAUUACUGUUAAGUAGUUUUCCUGUGUAGAGAGAAUUAUAAAAAUAUCCUUCAUUAUCUUUCAUGGAUAAAUGAUGUUUUUCUCAUGAGCCAGAGAAAAAUUAUCACAAUGUCUGCCCAGGUGUUUCUGUUAUGCUUACAGAAGUGAGUAGUGCUAUUUGCAGACACUGUACUUUCUCUCUUUUUCAUAUGAGUACAUUAAUCAAUUGUGGAGUUGUGGCAUCUGCUGUAAAACAAUUUGUUUUUCCAUUAUUUGAUGGCUACACUUUUUCUUUUAGUUUUUUUCUCUUCUUAUUGAAUCACAUUUUCUUUCCUCUUCUUUUAAAAAUAUUGCUGUAUUGAUUUACAAAAAAUAUAUAUUUUAUUGCCUCAUUUUAAUUUUUGGUAAUCCAUGUACUGCUUUAUUAAGGCCUAUAUAACUCAUAAUCCAACUCAUCGAUUAAAAGUUCAGGAAACCAAAGAGAUGGCUUUUUCUCCAAUUGAAGAUAUCAUAAUGAUAAUUUUGGGGGCUGGUGAAAACUGAGAUUGUCAGAAGGCUAAUUUUUUCUUAGAUGUCAUUUUUGUUGGUCACAAACUAGAGAUGAAGCUCUCUACAGGCAAGUAUAGAACCAUCUCUCUGUGCAACAAUUUGUAUUUUCAGACCACUUUUAGUCUUUGGGGGUAGAUACAAUUACUUAGAAAAAUCUUCAAUGUCUCUUUGGAAAACAGUUGAUCUCGAACUCAGUUCUAAAGCUGAGUCAGCAUCACAGGAUUUCAGAUUCUUGAAUGUUAUUUUUGUUGUCUUUCUCUUACUAAAUUGUUAUCACUGAAUAUUUCUCCUUUGUUUUACUCCAUUUGGACUGCUAUAACAAAAUACCAUAGACUGAGUAGCUUAUAAUACAGAAUUCACAUCUCACAGUUCUGAGGCUGGGAAGUUCAGCAUCAAGGUGCCAGCAGGUUCAGUGUCUUGUGAGGGCCUGUUUUCGGUUUCAUGGAGGGCCCCUUCUCACUGCAUCUUUACGUGGUACAAGUGGCAAGUCAGCUCUCUGGGGCCUCUUUUAUAAGAACACUUAUAGGAAUAUUGAAUUAGUGAACGAGCUCUGUUCUCGUGAAUUAAUCAUCUCCCAAAAGGCCCUAUCUCCUAACCCAUUUAUGCUGGAGGUUGCAAUUUUUGUGUGUGAAAAAUCAGACCUUGGCAAUGACCUUGAGCAGUAGGAUAUAAAUAACUCCCACAAGCUUAGCAUUCCAAUAAGGGAACACUAGGCAUAAAUGGGCUUAAUACCCUCAUCUUAGGGGAAAGGAUUUCAAUAUGUGAAUUUUGUGAAACACAAACAUUCAGACGGCAGCAUCUUUGCUUUCUUAAAAAGUUAAAUGAAACAAGUUCCCAAAUUUAAACAAGCAGAAAUAUGUAUACAGAUAAGGGUAGAGGAAUAGUUUAAAAUUAUUUUAAUUAGAUAUUUGAAGUCCUCAGUACGCUACAUUUAUAAAAAAGAAAUGGUAUAUGUGACAGGGAGCAAAAUAAAACCCUGUGUCAUAAAAAGAAUCCACUAUCAAUUAUUUAAAAAGAUCUUAGCAAGGAAAUAUCAGCUUCGAUAUUACAAACUUUUCAGAUGUGAAAAAUGAUUUAUUUUCAAAUAUAGUUCAAAUGAAGUUUUGCCUUAACAAAAUGGCUUUUCUAAAGGCCACCUUUAGAUCAAAAUACUUAAUCUAACUUGUGCCACUUCUUGGUAACCCUUGGUAACCCCUAAAUUGUUUUCUCUAUUUUCUCCAACUACUCUACUAAAAAGUUUCUUCCUAUUUCUCCACAUGGCUUCAAAAAAGGGAACAUAAAAGAGAAAUACCAGUCAGUGAUAAUCAUGUGGAAAAAAAUAAUAAUGUGAAGCAAUUUUUGUUUGUUUGUUUGUUUGUUUGUUUUCUCUCGAGGUCAUGAUCUGGUACUUUUUUACAGCAAACUCAUACUUAACAAAUUUUAAAGAUUUUUUAAAGAAUGAACUAAUGAAUUGGGUUAGGUAAGUUUAUCUUAACCAUUCUUAUGUCCUUUAAUUUUCUGCACUUUGCUAGUAUUUUACUUUUAGAAUCCGUAGUCAGCUUGAAUCAUAUUAAUUUUCUGACAACUGAAUAAAAAAUAUUUCAAUAUUUCAUGCAUCUUGUUUAUUUGUUUGUUUUGGUAGUUUUUUUUAAGAAAGUGAAAGUAGUUUAAUUUAGAGAGAAGCCAUGGAAACCGGGAAACAAAAAUGAGAUUGUGAUUGGGAAGGAAGGGAUCGUCAUCAAUAAAAUUGCUUUACUAAGCAAGUUAUUGCUGGAGGUGACAAAACUUUGAUCCCACUAGAGCCUUUAAAAGCCAGUAUCGAACACACUGUUCAGUAAUGCCACUCAAAUGAGCAGUGCAUUUAUUUAUUCAUUCUUUAUCAGUCAUUUGGUUGGUAGUAUGUUAUUAAUUCCACAGUAAUUCUGACUUGCCACUUGCAUGGACAAAUUGGGUUCCAGCUGCCAGAAAAAUCCUUCAGGCAAAGGAUGCAGCUGCCACCAGUUGGAAUUCUAGGGGAUACUUGGUCUUUAUAAUUUCUGAGUACAUAAGCAUCUACUAUAUGUGCUUAAUACAAAUGAAUGCCAUUUUAAUGUACCUUAAAAUUUCUAAGCAAAUACAUGAAAAGCAAUGUCUAAUUUCUUGCUUAUUUUCAAGGUAUACAGAUAACUCUGUUAUAUUCAGAAAGAGCAGGGACCUGAAAAAAAAAAUCUGUGUUAAAGUCUCAUAUGAACUAAAAAGAAAAAGUAAUUUAUUCUUCUGCUACUUCUCUUUUCAGUAAGGGUGGUUGCCUUGUCUUGCUCAUUGCAAGAAUGAAAGCUGUAUAAGUUGAAUGAAAAUAUAAAUAUGACUUUGAAGGUGGGUAAGUCUUACCUUCCCUUCUAGCAGUCUCUGAAGUUGCUUGAACAAUGGCUUAUUUUAUUAUUAGUUGGGACUCUUUGGUUGCAAGUAAUGGAAGUAUACUUGAACUAGAUUAGCAAAAAUGUAAGGCUUGUUAUAACAUUGCACAAGCACAGAACUCGCUGCUGGCUGGUAAGAUAUAGGACUACUGCAUUAUGGGGAUUUUUGAAUUCUAAUCUACUAGAGGGACCAUUGUUUUAAAAGUUCUUUAGAAGUUAUUCUUGGAACUACUAUUUAUACACGAAAGAAUGUGGAUGGAUCUCAAAAGCAUUAUGGCAAAAGACAGAAACAAAAGGCUACAUAUUGUUUCAUUCCAUUCACCUAACAUUUUAAAAAGCACAAAACUAUAGCAGUAAAAAUGAAUCAGUGGUCCCCAGAGACUAGGGGUAAAGGAGCAACUAUAAAAAGGAGACUUUUGGGAUAAUGGAACUAUUUUAAAUAUUGACUAUGGUUGUGGUCACAAGACUGCAAAACUGUAUACAGUUAUUAAUAUUUAUAGAACAAUACACUUCAAAAUGGGGGAUUUUAUUGAAUGCAAAUUAUACCUCAAUAAACCUGAUUGCUUUUUAAAAUAUAUAUAUAUAUAUAAAUAUGAAAUAGAUUAUUUUUAGUAAGUGACUAGAAAAAGGGCAAGCAAAAUAAUCGGUAACUUAGUAGGCAGCAAAUUAUUGUUCAUUUAUUUAACUCAGGUUUUAGAAAGUCCAUUGUGAAGCUAGUAAAAGAUUGUGAUUUGAAUUAUUUCUCAAAUUAUAGAUGAUUUUUAAUGAAGACAACAGAUAUACCUAAUAAAUUAUUUUUAAUUGAUCCAUGGAUACUAUCUUAUCUUUAUUCACACUUAGAUAUAAGAAAACACUAAAGAUAGACUUAGCAUGUUUCUAAAAUUAAUUUCUCUAAUUUGCAACACAGCACAUAAUAGUCAUGAUAAUUAAGCCAACUGAUAUCAUAAUUUAUGAUUACUUCUUGUCAGAAACUGUGAUAUUAUUUCCAUUGAGUAGGAAGUGGGGAGUGGGGCAAUUAAACUUAGUGCUAGAAUUAUUCUCCUUUUAAGCAUAAUUCAUCAAAAUCAAGAGUGAGCUUCAAAAUGACCAGUAAUAAAAGUAGGAAGAGAGAUGAUUUUCUAUAAAGUGCAAUUUAUGGAUUCUGGAUUCACAGAGAAAAUAAACACAUAGUGAAUUAGGUAAAAAUAAAAGAGGUAAAAUAUCCUGCAUGUAUUCUAUUAACAAGAUCAAAAGAAAACAAAAUUUACAUUACCGUAGAGAUCUUUAUAGCACCCCGUUUGUUAAAUUGAUAUUGUUGUGUUAAAAAAUUGACACAGACAUAUUAAUGGCUACAAAGAAAGAAAUAAAGAACUCCUUCUCACUUUUAAAUAGAUUCUGGAUUCUAGAGGAUAGUCCACACUUUCUUGUGCAAUUGUUUAAAUGUUGAAAUUGCUGACAUUAAGUGUGUAUGCAUUUACAUGUUGAAAUGCCACACAAAGGGUUUAUUAAUUUACUCUUUUUAUAAGCAAUGUAAGUCCUUGGUCUCUACAGUCUUAUCAAUAUCAAGUAUUUUGUACAUUACUGAUUUUGCCAAUUUAGUAUAUGAAGAAAAAGCCCACAAUAUAAUCUUUAUUUUGUUCAGUGGUAAGCAAAGUUAAACAUAUGUUUUUUAAAAGUCCCAUUUUGCGUCUUGAUUUCAAAUCAUCUGGUCAUAUUCCCAAAUAUUUAUAUGUUGCAUUCUUUGAUUUUUAUUCAUUUAUGGAAAAGUUUCGGGGAUAAAGAAGGAUUAGUAUUUUCUGUGUUCCACAUGGCUGUUCUAGACCAUUGAAACUCCUGUCCACAUAGUGUCUUAUUUUUUUUAAUAGUUUCACAUAGAAAGUAUGUUAAUAUACAUGAUCUUUUAAUUAUUUCCACAUAAAAGGUAUUUAGAAUUUAUCAUUAUUAUCAUCAUUUCAACUUUAGACUUAAAUAAACUGAACCUCAAAGUGGUCAAUGACUUGACCGAGUCCCAAGUAGAAAUGAAGCUGAUUUUCUGGCUUCUUUCGUAUUUUUUCAAACUACAUAUAUUCAUUACAUUUAUUUUACUAACAAAGUAUUGCUUUAUCCUUUCUUAUGAACCAGCAUUUUUAUUGUUUUUUUAAUUAAAUUUAUUCUUAUUAAUAAAAAAACAAGUCAAUUCCUUGGAAAUUUUUGCCGAAACCUGUUUUACAUUUCAAUAUCUCCAUAAUUGGCCAUAGGCUUUAAUGACAUUGAACUCCUUCUUUCUCUGUUGCUUCAGGCUUGUCCAUAGAAGUAAAUAUUCGCAUGAUUUUAACUUUCCAAACUGGCCCGAAAUAAUUUGUCUUAACUAUUGUCAAAUUAUUACCCACUUUGUAAAGCUGUGUUCAGUUUCUUCUCCUCAAUGAAAACGUUCAUGGUCAUAUAAAAAUAUGAUUACAAUUUUUCUCACUCUCUGAGUUACCUUGUAUUUUAUAAUAUUUUCAUGUAAGAAAAUGAGCUGUCCAUUUUAAAUGUCCAUCAUAAUUCUUCAAAUAAUGUUUAUAAAAUUAUACUCACUGGCUAGUAAUAUGCAGUUUGGCAACAGAAUGAGACUAUAUACAAAUUAAUAAAGUCAGUUGUUGGUCACAGUUAACAAUAAUUUUUCAUAAGCUUGGAGUUGAGGAAAUUCAAAGGCACUCAGUAUUUUUUUAAAUUAAGAAUUGCAAGAAGAAAGAGACAGAAAAUGAGUAUGUUAUUCAAAAUGAAAAGAUCAAUGCAAUCAUCCAAACCCAGUUAAGACUGUGUAACAGUGCAAAACAAGGUGUUUCUAAUAUUUCUAGAAUAUCACUGUCUUUCCCUUAUAGUAGGCUCAAGAUUUCUUUAAAUGACGUAGGGAAAGUAACUUUCCAUCGGCAAGACAGAAAAUAGCUAUUGGGAGAUUAGGGUAGGAGACGGAAGGAAAGCAAAGGGAAGGGAAGGGGAGGGGAGGGGAGGGAAGGGGAGGGGAAGGAGAAUGGCAGGAAAGAACAAGAAAAGGAGGGAGAAAGAACUAAGAAAGGAAGAGAGGAAGGGAGGGGAGGAGAGAGAGAGGAAAAGAGGAUGAAAAAUGAGAGGUGGAAUAACAGCUAGACAGGAAAGGAGAAUGAGAAAAGUAAGACGCAAACAGGGAGAGCAAAAAUUAAAGUAACCUAGAUGUGGCAGUCAAGAGAUUGUGAAAGAUGUGUAUACAAAAGAGGGGCCAUACCACAGCAGUAACUUGACCACAGCAGUAACUCAAUGCAUGAUUUGUGUUCCUGUAUCUUUUAAUGGCACAAGUCCUGGGACCUUUGAUGAGGCUCUGUCUAAUCAUAGAAGGACUCUGCCACCAGAAUAACCUAGUUUGCAUAAACUUUCCUCGUGUUUUCUUUCACUCCGCUAUCCAGACUGUAGGGUGUGCCUUACAUUAUUUAGCUGAAUUGUCAACAGGUGUACUGAGUAAACUGUUUGAUUUAUAAAUAUCUCUGUAUCUAAUCAUGUAUCAAUUUCUCAAAUUAUGGUGUUUCACAUAUUGGUUUCUCUAAAGAUUAUUUCAUUUCACAAUUUGAGGCAGUUUUGUGAAAAGAAACAUAUACAUAUAUUUUAAUUUCUGCCUGAAAUAUACAACAUUGAAUUUCAUUCAAAUAUUUAAUGCCUUCACAAAUAAAACGUAGCUAGUGUUUCAUGUUGCUGUUUAGAAGUUUAUUGAAAUAUGGCAGAUAAAAUGCUAUAGAGAUAUUAUUAUGUUUAAUAAUUCAGUAGUUGCUUCAAAUAUGCUAUAAAGUGUUGGAAUAUGGCCAGUUAACUUUAAAAUAUAGAAUAAUAAAAUAAUUGGAUUUAAAAUUGCUUCAUAUUAUUUUUGUUUAAUAAAAAGACAAUCCAUGUCUUAGGUGUACCCUUUUAAAUCCUAUCUACUUUCUGAUUCUUAGGAUUCUUAAAAAGAAUAUUGUAAUGACUGAACAGAAAUAUUAUAUCUGAUUUUGUACUAGAAAAUUGAAGCAGCAUGGGAUCAUGGCUAAGUAAGAGCUUUAUAGCAGUAGCAAAUAGUUACAUGAUUACUGAAGUAUAGCUGUCACUGGAAAUAGAAAGCUGCAAGGAACCUAUCAUAAAAGUAGCAAUUUCAGUUUCACUAGUGUUUAAAAUUAAAGCCUAGUAAUUCAUUGUGGAUGUAUUUCCUCAAUGGUUUCAGGAAAGUAUCCUGCUUUCACUGAGCAUUUUCACUUUGUUCCUUAUGUGUUUCCUUUCAUAAUGAAAAAGUUGUAAUUUCAGAUUGGUAAAACAAUUGUUAGGACUUUGUGAACAAACACUCAAAAAGUUUUGUGUCAUGAAAUAAUGAUUAGUCAAUUGUAUUUAUUGUUAUAACACACUAUGUUAAAAAUUCACUGCCAGAUGAUCCACAUUAUGUUAGGUAAACCAAUUUAAUCAACAGUUUCCUCUUUUGACAUAUAAUUAGCUGAUGGAUGAAUUUAGAGGUGUAAAAAACCUUCAAAUAAAAGCGUUUAUGGAAAAAAAUAAUGGCUGUUUAUGGAGUUUUGCAUACAUGUGUUACUGUCUUAAGAAGCUGAAAUGAGA
Molecule: long non-coding RNA, 10174 nt
Filed under: Homo sapiens (human)
Lineage: Eukaryota; Metazoa; Chordata; Mammalia; Primates; Hominidae
Description: HSALNT0315877
Rfam family: Histone 3' UTR stem-loop (bases 4368-4413)
Source: RNAcentral